UACGUAGGGGGCAAGCGUUGUCCGGAUUCAUUGGGCGUAAAGAGCGUGUAGGCGGCCAGGUAGGUCGGUUGUGAAAACUGGAGGCUCAACCUUCAGACGUCGACCGAAACCAUCUGGCUAGAGUCCGGGAGAGGAGAGUGGAAUUCCUGGUGUAGCGGUGAAAUGCGCAGAUAUCAGGAGGAACACCAAUGGCGAAGGCAGCUCGCUGGGACGUGACUGACGCUGAGACGCGAAAGCGUGGGGAGCAAACAGG
This 253-nucleotide ribosomal RNA is filed under the name uncultured bacterium. RNAcentral's name for it is "partial 16S ribosomal RNA". It matches the Rfam family "Bacterial small subunit ribosomal RNA", at positions 524 to 776 of the family's 1533-position model. The record is from RNAcentral.